UACGUAGGUGGCAAGCGUUGUCCGGAAUUAUUGGGCGUAAAGCGCGCGCAGGCGGCCUCUUAAGUCUGAUGUGAAAGCCCCCGGCUCAACCGGGGAGGGCCAUUGGAAACUGGGAGGCUUGAGUAUAGGAGAGAAGAGUGGAAUUCCACGUGUAGCGGUGAAAUGCGUAGAGAUGUGGAGGAACACCAGUGGCGAAGGCGACUCUUUGGCCUAUAACUGACGCUGACGGCGC
RNAcentral lists this ribosomal RNA (232 nucleotides) under uncultured bacterium. RNAcentral describes it as "partial 16S ribosomal RNA". It matches the Rfam family "Bacterial small subunit ribosomal RNA", at positions 524 to 754 of the family's 1533-position model. The record is from RNAcentral.